UACGUAGGGUGCGAGCGUUGUCCGGAAUUAUUGGGCGUAAAGAGCUUGUAGGCGGUUUGUCGCGUCUGCCGUGAAAAUCCGGGGCUCAACCCCGGACUUGCGGUGGGUACGGGCAGACUAGAGUGUGGUAGGGGAGACUGGAAUUCCUGGUGUAGCGGUGAAAUGCGCAGAUAUCAGGAGGAACACCGAUGGCGAAGGCAGUGGGCUGGGCCGGCACUGACGCUGAGGAGCGAAAGCGUGGGGAGCGAACAGG
This 253-nucleotide ribosomal RNA is filed under the name uncultured bacterium. RNAcentral's name for it is "partial 16S ribosomal RNA". It matches the Rfam family "Bacterial small subunit ribosomal RNA", at positions 524 to 776 of the family's 1533-position model. The record is from RNAcentral.